UCCCAAUCGCCCCUCCAUCUUGGGGUCCUUGGGGUGUGUCCUUGACGGGGAUCGUGGGGUACCAUUCUCUUCCUGUCUUUAGCUUCCGGGCCAUGAGUGACUCUGCUCAGCCACAUGGCCCCAGCACAGUAUGCUGCCUCGUACACCCUAAAAGCCACGGGGACAACUGAUAAUGGGCUGGGACCCCCCCCAUGUGUGAGCCCAAAUAACCCUUUCCUCUUCAUAAGCUGAUUAUCUCGCCCUUGUUGCCUUGCUACCUUGUGUGCCCCAUGUUGUUUCUCCUCUGCGAUACCUGUUUGCCGUCCCUGCCUUGGAGCCACCUGAACACGAACUGAAACCUCUGUGAACUCUACAGAUCAUUCAUGCUGACUUUUGCAAAGCUCCUGCCCUGGCAGACAAGCCCGAGUGUUGGAAUCUGCAAAGUUGAUGAUUAGUCGAAACAGCCUGGACUUCAUCCACAGGACAUCUUGUAGCACAAUCAAGCACUACUUCAUCAUGCCUGGUGACAGGACUCUUCCCGUUAAAUCUCCAUCAGGAGCAGGGAGCCAGUGAACAGCUCAGCAGCUAAUUAGACAAGGCAACAUACAAGGCUGGUACAUGCUGACUUCAAUAGGCUGCAGUGGUGGACCUGUCAGACAGAUCUGUCUUGGCCCCUGUGCUUUCUACCCAUUACUGUACUAGUUGAACAUUAACACUCAGAAAUCUGCUGAUUUUCCCCAAUAUCCUGGCCCAUGCAGAGAAGGAGCUGAAAAGGAACUGUAUGUCUUAAAGAUAGUUCCAUGCUUCAUUAUCCCCAAAAGCAUCAAUCUUCAACUCAUUGUUAAAGAAGUAUCACAGAAUGUGGAGAUGUAGACAGGAUGGGUAAAAAUGCAGGGUGUGGGCUUUUUAGUGUCUCUGUUAUGAUUCCC
RNAcentral lists this long non-coding RNA (908 nucleotides) under Heterocephalus glaber (naked mole-rat). RNAcentral's name for it is "lncRNA (ENSHGLG00000044132.1)". Lineage: Eukaryota; Metazoa; Chordata; Mammalia; Rodentia; Bathyergidae. The record is from RNAcentral.